UUCAAAGCACAGUCAGAUAUAUGUUGAAGCAGGAAAAAAGUAGUACAAAACCGUUAUCUCUGCUGUGUAAAGAAAGGAGCCUGUAUGUAGACAUUUCGAAGCUUAUUGUACAUAAGUUGGAAGCAUGACACAUAUGAUACCAAAGCACAUGUAUGGUACUGAAAACAAUGGAAGAACAUAUACAGGGUCACUAGAAUACUUAAUAUACAUAUCCCUGAAACAUUGCAUAUGUUACAAGAAUCACAACAUUCACACUAAGGCAAGGAGCCGGUCACUUUGAGACCACAGAGACGAAGCCGCUGGAUCAUAGUCACCAUGCUGCGCCCCGAGUGCCGCCAUUGACCACGUCGGCAAGGGAGCAUUCCGGUGAGAGCACUCUGGGGAGAUCAGAGAUGUAACAUGUCAUUGUGAUCAAAGGAGUGGUUGUUAGCACAACAGAAAGGAACCAUAGGUGGUCGUCAGCAGGUAGCAUGUCGCGGGAGAUGGAGCCUGGUGGCCAAGCAAGGUCGCCAAGACCUCGUGCCUUGCUUCAUUACCCUGGAUAAACUGAAAACAUAUGAAGUCAAGUACAUUAGGCGGUACAGAAAAAAUAUGGAAGUAUUCUAUGGAAGCAAACGAUGUAGACCAAAGAAACAAAUUCAGUAUAGAUGGGUGCAUGCCAUAUUACAAUGGUGAAAUCAAAGACAAUAAAUUUGUCUUUGUUUGUAAGAAGCCUGAAGUGUGGAGGCAAUAUAUUGGAACUGAAGAAAUAUAUGAGGUAUAAUUUAGACGCCCCAUGAGUAGGAAGCAUGGAAAUGUGCAGUGUUAAUAUGAUUUUUCUUCAUUGGAAGCACUGAAGUUGAAAUGGAAAUAAACUAAGAUUCCACCACCAUGGAGAUGGAUGUUCCUGCAACCUACAUGUCAAAUUCACAAAAUAAAAUGUAGAAUUGUAGAAGCAAACUAUCUAGACAGUGGAAUCAUGUAUAGUACAUGUAAGCUCCAUAGAUAGGAAGCAUGAUAAGAUCAAUAUCACAUCCUAACUCAUUUUAAGUGGAAGCAUAUGGAUUUGAAAACAGAAAUUAAGUAAGCCGCCACAUAGCUAUGCAAGUUCGUGUGAUCGAAUAACAAAAUAUACCUAAACUGGUUGAUACUUUACUGAUUAAAUGCAGAAUGGAAAGAACAAAUCUGCACCCAAUACCCUCAAUUCGAAGAAGAGGCGUCAAAAAGGGGAAAAGGACCUUUGGCGCUGCUAGUUCUUGGGCUGACAAACACUCUUCGGGCAGCCUGGUGAAUCACAAACACCGCGGCGGUCCUGGCGAGCACGGACACCAGUCAACAGAAUGGCGCAUCGGCGAGGUGGACCGGCGGCCGCAUCAACAAUCGGUGGCAUUGGAGUGGGUCGAGUCUGGGCAGCAAGGUAGACGGUGAGCACACCCGUUAGGUGGACUCGAAGCACGGGAUGCGGGGAAACGGAUCUAAGCAGCCCUGGUGGUGCGAACAGGUUCGACACCCGGCUCGGUGGAGGGAGAGCUUUGCGGCGAGAUUGAGCUGGGACGGCGAGGUCGGGGACAAGCCCAUGAGAGGCGAGGCGGGCUGUGGUGGAUGGGUCAUCUCGCCCCGGUCAAGGUGAGUUAGU
This 1615-nucleotide long non-coding RNA is filed under the name Triticum aestivum (bread wheat). Its description in RNAcentral is "long non-coding RNA (TAES_LNC016269)". The record is from RNAcentral. Lineage: Eukaryota; Viridiplantae; Streptophyta; Magnoliopsida; Poales; Poaceae.